This 72-nucleotide transfer RNA is filed under the name Potomida littoralis. RNAcentral's name for it is "tRNA-Ala". Lineage: Eukaryota; Metazoa; Mollusca; Bivalvia; Unionida; Unionidae. The record is from RNAcentral.
AGUUCUGUACUUUAAUUCAAAAGAUUUGAUUUGCAAUCAACCAUUGAGCUGCCCAUUACCACUCUAGAACUA